This 339-nucleotide ribosomal RNA is filed under the name Triticum aestivum (bread wheat). Its description in RNAcentral is "partial small subunit ribosomal RNA". Lineage: Eukaryota; Viridiplantae; Streptophyta; Magnoliopsida; Poales; Poaceae. The record is from RNAcentral.
AUGGCGGCUACAAAGCUUCAUUUGACGGCAUGGUGCAGAAGCCUCCUGAUUCGGUGCUCCGACGACGUUGCUGCAGGGCCAAAGGCCGACGGGGAUGCAGGCGCUGGUGCUGCUCGCGGCGGGGCGCGGGAAGCACGAGAGGAAGCAGGGGUUGCGGCUCCUGCUUGCUACGCGGGGAAGCACCGACAAGAAGGAGAUGCUUGGGGAAGAACGAGCAGAGGAGGGCAGCUGUGGAUGGAGGAGGAGGUGAUGUGGCGCUGGUCGAUUGGAUCGAUCCGAUGUGAGAGGAUCCUGAGGUGGAUGCGGGAGUGUGGCGGCGGCGGGAUGGGAAAAGAAUGA